Molecule: long non-coding RNA, 222 nt
Filed under: Sorghum bicolor (sorghum)
Lineage: Eukaryota; Viridiplantae; Streptophyta; Magnoliopsida; Poales; Poaceae
Description: long non-coding RNA (SBIC_LNC001196)
Source: RNAcentral
UCUGGUUCAACGGCGCAUUGGGAAGCGCCGAUGUCAUAGGAGUCUUGCCCCUCAUGUCGGUUAUCUGCGAUGUACCUGGCGUCAAUUCUGGAGGCAUACCAUAACCCCACCAAUUAGGAGGAAGAGUCAACCCUGACAUUGCCGAUGCCAACAUGUCUGUUGUCAGUUUAUUCUGCCCACUUGAAGUCUGUGGGUUGGUUGUCAUCGGCACAGAUAGUGCAC